Molecule: long non-coding RNA, 884 nt
Filed under: Homo sapiens (human)
Lineage: Eukaryota; Metazoa; Chordata; Mammalia; Primates; Hominidae
Description: HSALNT0238337
Source: RNAcentral
GCAGAAUCUUUUCGGCCGCAACGUGCAUGAGAAUCACCUGGAAACCUUGUUCAGAUUCUACCUGUGACUCGGUCUCCAGGCUUCCUUUGGGUUGACUUGGCUGAGUGACAUCUGGCCCAGCACUCCGGGGCCAUGCAAAGACCUUGGGGUGUGCUCCUCCCCCAGCAUCUGGAAUGUUAUUGCUCCGUCUGCUCUGCUGUGGUCCCUCCAGUGGGCCACUGGCUCGGUCAGCUUUCCCAGUCUCUCCAUAGCAGGUUUUGACCGCAUCUUCAAACUGGAGUAGUCAAUACUGUAUGUGACAAGGGAAUACUGUGUGUGACAAGGAAAGUUUUAAGGCUCAUGACUGUAAUCCCAGCACUUUGGGAGGCAGAGGCAGGUGGAUCACCUGAGGUCAGGAGUUCAAGACCAGCCUGGCCAACAUGGUGAAACCCUGUCUCUACAAAAAUACAAAAAUUAUCUGCGCACGAUGGCAGGUGCCUGUAAUUCCAGCUACUCGAGAGGCUGGGGCAGAAGAAUUGCUUGAACCCAGCAGGCAGAGGCUGCAGUGAGCCGAGAUCAUGCCACCAUGCCAUUGCACUCCAGCCUGGGCGACAGAGUGAGACUCCAUCUCAAAGAAAAAAAAAAAGCAACUACUGUUCCAGAUUCCCAAGUUUCUGGUUAAAACUGCCUUCUCCUUUCUCUUCUCAGUGUAUUUGUCACUAAAGAAAGACACCUUCUCACCUACAUUGUACCUCACAUUGCUCCAAGGUGGAAACACUUGUCAGGUGCCAAAGAGGCAGUCUGACAACUUCAAAACCUCAUAAUACAUUAUCAAGAUGUGUAAUAUAUUUGUGUUGUUUGUAGCAAUGCUGUGUUGAUAUUAAUUAUAGUUCCCAUGAUUUGAG